UACGGAGGGGGCUAGCGUUAUUCGGAAUUACUGGGCGUAAAGCGCGCGUAGGCGGUCAAUUAAGUCAGAUGUGAAAGCCCAGGGCUCAACCCUGGAACUGCAUUUGAAACUAGUUGACUAGAAUCCGUUAGAGGAUGGUGGAAUUCUUAGUGUAGAGGUGAAAUUCGUAGAUAUUAAGAGGAACACCGGUGGCGAAGGCGACCAUCUGGGACGGUAUUGACGCUAAGGCGCGAAAGCGUGGGGAGCAAACAGG
This 253-nucleotide ribosomal RNA is filed under the name uncultured bacterium. RNAcentral's name for it is "partial 16S ribosomal RNA". It matches the Rfam family "Bacterial small subunit ribosomal RNA", at positions 524 to 776 of the family's 1533-position model. The record is from RNAcentral.